UCUGAAUCUGCGNACGGCUCCGCAAACCAGUUGUAAACUACAGCAAGCAAGCACGGGGGGUUGGCCUUCACGGGUCGGUCCCUCGGGCGAUAUGGAUAACCCUGGUAAUUCUGAGGCUAAUACAAGAACGUAACCCCUGGUUGACUGAGCCCUCGCCCUCGGGUGGGGAUACUUGGGAGGCUGGGAAGCGUGCGAGUACUAAUGCGAAUGAGAACCGGGAAUGGGCGCACGCUUGGACCGCGCUACAAAGGAUCAUUACUCGGCAAUCCCUCCGGGGUGCGCUUUGUUUUGGCCCUAGCGGCUCUUGCGGUGUGCUUCUGACCUAUCAACUAGACGGCAGCGUAACGGACAUGCUAUGGCACAACGGGUACAG
This 373-nucleotide ribosomal RNA is filed under the name uncultured myxomycete. Its description in RNAcentral is "bacterial SSU rRNA". It matches the Rfam family "Eukaryotic small subunit ribosomal RNA", at positions 80 to 365 of the family's 1831-position model. The record is from RNAcentral. Lineage: Eukaryota; Evosea; Eumycetozoa.